This 593-nucleotide ribosomal RNA is filed under the name uncultured bacterium. RNAcentral's name for it is "bacterial SSU rRNA". It matches the Rfam family "Bacterial small subunit ribosomal RNA", at positions 338 to 950 of the family's 1533-position model. The record is from RNAcentral.
CCUACGGGAGGCAGCAGUGGGGGAAUCUUGCGCAAUGGGCGAAAGCCUGACGCAGCCAUGCCGCGUGAAUGAUGAAGGUCUUAGGAUUGUAAAAUUCUUUCACCGGGGACGAUAAUGACGGUACCCGGAGAAGAAGCCCCGGCUAACUUCGUGCCAGCAGCCGCGGUAAUACGAAGGGGGCUAGCGUUGCUCGGAAUUACUGGGCGUAAAGGGAGCGUAGGCGGAUAGUUUAGUCAGAGGUGAAAGCCCAGGGCUCAACCUUGGAAUUGCCUUUGAUACUGGCUAUCUUGAGUGUGGGAGAGGUUAGCGGAACUCCGAGUGUAGAGGUGAAAUUCGUAGAUAUUCGGAAGAACACCAGUGGCGAAGGCGGCUAACUGGCCCAUUACUGACGCUGAGGCUCGAAAGCGUGGGGAGCAAACAGGAUUAGAUACCCUGGUAGUCCACGCCGUAAACGAUGAGUGCUAGUUGUCGGCAUGCAUGCAUGUCGGUGACGCAGCUAACGCAUUAAGCACUCCGCCUGGGGAGUACGGUCGCAAGAUUAAAACUUAAAUGAAUUGACGGCUGAGAGNGCGACGACGACGACGAGGGAGAGG